UAUCUCUCCGUACGGGGAAGGAUGAGAAGCUUCGACUAAGGUUCGAUUCGAGCGCAGCGAGAAAGCGUUGCCGUAGGCAACGACCCGAAGGGCGAAGCGCGCAGCGCUGAGUAAUCCUUCCCCUGUCAUCC
RNAcentral lists this small RNA (131 nucleotides) under Salmonella enterica subsp. enterica serovar Schwarzengrund. RNAcentral's name for it is "RtT sRNA". It matches the Rfam family "RtT RNA". From Rfam's summary of the family: This family represents a bacterial cis-regulatory element known as RtT RNA. The exact function of RtT is unknown although it is thought that it may be involved in changing the cellular response in relation to amino acid starvation. Lineage: Bacteria; Pseudomonadati; Pseudomonadota; Gammaproteobacteria; Enterobacterales; Enterobacteriaceae. The record is from RNAcentral.